Molecule: ribosomal RNA, 192 nt
Filed under: Triticum aestivum (bread wheat)
Lineage: Eukaryota; Viridiplantae; Streptophyta; Magnoliopsida; Poales; Poaceae
Description: partial small subunit ribosomal RNA
Source: RNAcentral
AUGAGUAGCGUAUCAACAAUGCCGCCCAAGCCUCUCAAGAAGCCCAAGGCCCAGAAGAAAGAGUACGACGAGACCGAUCUGGAGAACUUGAAGAAGAAGGAGGACGAGAAGGCCGUCAAGGAGCUCAAGGCCAAGGCCGCGCAGAAGGGCCCGCUAGGAGGCGCCGGUCUCAAGAAGAGCGGCAAAAAGUGA